ACAGAGGGUGCGAGCGUUGUUCGGAAUUAUUGGGCGUAAAGGGCGCGUAGGCGGCCUCGUAAGUCAGAUGUGAAAUCCCUGGGCUUAACCCAGGACGUGCAUCUGAUACUGCUUGGCUUGAGUCCCGGAGAGGGUGGUGGAAUUCCCAGUGUAGAGGUGAAAUUCGUAGAUAUUGGGAGGAACACCGGUGGCGAAGGCGACCACCUGGACGGAGACUGACGCUGAGGCGCGAAAGCGUGGGGAGCAAACAGGA
This 253-nucleotide ribosomal RNA is filed under the name uncultured prokaryote. Its description in RNAcentral is "partial 16S ribosomal RNA". It matches the Rfam family "Bacterial small subunit ribosomal RNA", at positions 525 to 777 of the family's 1533-position model. The record is from RNAcentral.